AAGUCGUAACAAGGUUUCCGUCGGUGAACCUGCGGAAGGAUCAUUAACACGGUUUCCCCAAGCGGUUUCCCCAAGCAGUCAGUGUCGGAAAGUGUCAUUGAUUGUGCAAGGAUAGCGCUUCUACGAUUCCUGUAGACCGUACACUCGGGCAGGAGCUUUGCCAAAGGGUCCCCAUGCCCCCUAAUAACCCCACAGUUUAAUGUGAAGCUCAAUGUAAUACAUUGGGUAAAAAAACCGAACAACUGUUAACAAUGGAUAUCUUGGUUCUC
Molecule: unclassified non-coding RNA, 269 nt
Filed under: fungal sp.
Lineage: Eukaryota; Fungi
Description: partial internal transcribed spacer region
Rfam family: Eukaryotic small subunit ribosomal RNA (bases 1-46)
Source: RNAcentral